Molecule: ribosomal RNA, 380 nt
Filed under: uncultured bacterium
Lineage: Bacteria
Description: bacterial SSU rRNA
Rfam family: Bacterial small subunit ribosomal RNA
Source: RNAcentral
AACGAACGCUGGCGGCGCGCCUAACACAUGCAAGUCGAACGAGGUACUUGUUUUCGGAUGAGCUACCUAGUGGCGGACGGGUGAGUAACGCGUGGGAACCUGCCCUUUGCUCUGGAACAACCACGGGAAACUGUGGCUAAUACCGGAUAAUGCCCUUCGGGGCCAAAGAUUUAUCGGCGAAGGAGGGGCCCGCGUUAGAUUAGCUAGUUGGUGGGUAACGCCUACCAAGGCUCUGAUCUAUAGCUGGUCUGAGAGGACGAUCAGCCACACUGGGACUGAGACACGGCCCAGACUCCUACGGGAGGCAGCAGUGGGAAUCUUGGACAAUGGGGGAAACCCUGAUCCAGCGACGCCGCGUGGGUGAUGAAGGCCUUAGGGUU